CUGGCUCAGAACGAACGCUGGCGGCAAGCUUAACACAUGCAAGUCGAACGGAUUAUCUUUUAUAGCUUGCUAUAAAAGAUAAUUAGUGGCAGACGGGUGAGUAAUGCAUAGGAAUCUACCUAGUAGUAUGGGAUAGCCACUAGAAAUGGUGGGUAAUACUGUAUAAUCCCUGCGGGGGAAAGAUUUAUCGCUAUUAGAUGAGCCUAUGUUAGAUUAGCUAGUUGGUAGGGUAAAGGCCUACCAAGGCGAUGAUCUAUAGCUGGUCUGAGAGGAUGAUCAGCCACACUGGAACUGAGAUACGGUCCAGACUCCUACGGGAGGCAGCAGUGGGGAAUAUUGGACAAUGGGCGCAAGCCUGAUCCAGCUAUGCCGCGUGAGUGAGGAAGGCCUUAGGGUUGUAAAACUCUUUCAGUAGGGAAGAUAAUGACGGUACCUACAGAAGAAGUCCCGGCAAACUCCGUGCCAGCAGCCGCGGUAAUACGGAGGGGGCAAGCGUUGUUCGGAAUUAUUGGGCGUAAAGGGCAUGUAGGCGGUUCGGUAAGUUAAAGGUGAAAUGCCAGGGCUUAACCCUGGAGCUGCUUUUAAUACUGCCAGACUAGAGUCCGGGAGAGGAUAGCGGAAUUCCUA
This 627-nucleotide ribosomal RNA is filed under the name uncultured Anaplasma sp. RNAcentral's name for it is "bacterial SSU rRNA". It matches the Rfam family "Bacterial small subunit ribosomal RNA", at positions 19 to 672 of the family's 1533-position model. The record is from RNAcentral. Lineage: Bacteria; Pseudomonadati; Pseudomonadota; Alphaproteobacteria; Rickettsiales; Anaplasmataceae.